ACAGCAGCAAUGUGUGCUUGGGAGAAAUGUUGCUUCCUGUUAACUUGGAAGCUGAGACUUUCCGUGUGUUUUAUUCCAGCCUGAUGAAUGGGUGGACAAAUUCUUACAAAUAUAUAGUGAAUGCUUACUUUCACAGUAGAAGAAUGAGAAAAUGGAUUAAGAGAAGAUGCAGAUGGAGAACCUGAAGAGAACCAGAGAUGCACAUAGUCAGUGAAGAUUUUCUGUGAAAAAGUUGAAGCUUUGUGUUAUUCAGAGAUUUGCUGAAGCCACCUGCCUGACAUAGCCCCAAUGUAUAUGGAGCACGGCGCCCUCCAGGGCCCAUUGCAGUCACCCAGCUCUGGCUCCAGCCAAGCCUCAGCCUUCUCUCUGAUGGAGAUUUGAAGAUAAUGUGAGUUGCUUGUGAUGUUAAAAUGAACUAUGUAGAAAAAAAAUUAUUGACCUGUA
Macaca mulatta (Rhesus monkey) is the source of this 444-nucleotide non-coding RNA. Lineage: Eukaryota; Metazoa; Chordata; Mammalia; Primates; Cercopithecidae. The record is from RefSeq and is a predicted model, not a curated record.